UACGAGUGCCCCAAGCGUUAUCCGGAAUUAUUGGGCGUAAAGGGUGUGUAGGUGGUCUUGUUAGUCUUCUGUUAAAGCUCUCGGCUUAACCGGGAACGUGCAGGGGAAACGGCAGGACUAGAGGAUGCGAGAGGUGUGCGGAACUCAUGGUGUAGGGGUGAAAUCCGUUGAUAUCAUGGGGAACACCGAAAGCGAAGGCAGCACACUGGCGCACUCCUGACACUGAAACACGAAAGCGUGGGUAGCGAAUGGG
RNAcentral lists this ribosomal RNA (253 nucleotides) under uncultured bacterium. Its description in RNAcentral is "partial 16S ribosomal RNA". It matches the Rfam family "Bacterial small subunit ribosomal RNA", at positions 524 to 776 of the family's 1533-position model. The record is from RNAcentral.